Molecule: ribosomal RNA, 630 nt
Filed under: Triticum aestivum (bread wheat)
Lineage: Eukaryota; Viridiplantae; Streptophyta; Magnoliopsida; Poales; Poaceae
Description: partial small subunit ribosomal RNA
Source: RNAcentral
AUGGCUCCAUCCGGUUCCAUGACGAGGCCACCGUGUGCUAACCAACAAGACAUGCCGAACAAGUGGGAGGACGCAUCUUUGGACAAGGUGAAGGAGAAAGAUUUCAACAUCCCGCCUUGUUGGUGUGGAGAUGUUUGCAAGGUGAAGGUGUCCACCGACCGAAAGAAAGCAUGGACGGAAGGGCGGAGAUAUUUUGUAUGCCCGAACUAUGCUUAUGAUCGUGCACUUCCAACUAACGCCUAUGACCAACCACCGGUAAGCUCGAGAAGUAAAAUGUUACUCUCAAAUGUGUGUCAACACCAACAACAAAUUUUUAUGCAGUCACCGCCUCCUCUAUGCAAGUACUUCACGUGGAUAGAUCUUGAAGUGCCAGAAGAUGUUAAAAAGGACCAAUACGCAGAUUGUCUUAGGCGGCAACGACGGUUCGAAGAAUCGUUUCGAAGAGGCUUGGAGGAAGAGUGUCGUCAGAAGGAGAGGAUGGAGCGGAAGAAACGAGAGGAGGAGAGGGCACGCCAAGCGAAACUUGCUCAUGAGGAGGAGAGGGCAAGAAAGCUUGCAAAGGCUCGCGAGGCGCAAGAGGAGGACUCGGCACGUGACAAGAAGGGGAAAUGGCCUCGCUCUACUCAGUAG